GACGAACGCUGGCGGCGUGCUUAACACAUGCAAGUCGAACGCUGAAGCUCAGCUUUUGUUGGGUGGAUGAGUGGCGAACGGGUGAGUAACACGUGAGUAACCUGCCCUCUUCUUUGGGAUAACGCCCGGAAACGGGUGCUAAUACUGGAUAUUCACUGAUCUUCGCAUGGGGGUUGGUGGAAAGGUUUGUUCUGGUGGGGGAUGGGCUCGCGGCCUAUCAGCUUGUUGGUGGGGUGAUGGCCUACCAAGGCUUUGACGGGUAGCCGGCCUGAGAGGGUGACCGGUCACAUUGGGACUGAGAUACGGCCCAGACUCCUACGGGAGGCAGCAGUGGGGAAUAUUGCACAAUGGGCGGAAGCCUGAUGCAGCGACGCCGCGUGAGGGAUGGAGGCCUUCGGGUUGUAAACCUCUUUCGCUCAUGGUCAAGCCGCAACUGUGGGUUGUGGUGAGGGUAGUGGGUAAAGAAGCGCCGGCCUACUUCGUGUUUGUUGCCGCGGUUAUACGUAGAGCGCGUACGUUUGCGGAAUUUUUGGGUGUAUAGGGGUUUGUUUGCCGCAGGUCACAUCCGUCAGAAAAUCUUUGGAUUAACUGUGGAACUGUCGGGCUUUGUGCUGACCUAUUGCCUGAAUGUAAAACUGGAACUUCUUAUUUCUUGUGUUAUGUCUAAAUAUAAUAAUACCCUUUGACGCAUGCUCUUCUUCUG
Molecule: ribosomal RNA, 703 nt
Filed under: uncultured Comamonadaceae bacterium
Lineage: Bacteria; Pseudomonadati; Pseudomonadota; Betaproteobacteria; Burkholderiales; Comamonadaceae
Description: bacterial SSU rRNA
Rfam family: Bacterial small subunit ribosomal RNA
Source: RNAcentral